AGCUGGUCUGAGUGCAGUGGUGUUUACAACCAGUUACAGAUUUCUUUGUUUCAUCUCUACUCCCACUUCUUCACUUGACUAGCCUUGA
This 88-nucleotide Y RNA is filed under the name Saimiri boliviensis boliviensis (Bolivian squirrel monkey). RNAcentral describes it as "Y RNA (ENSSBOG00000005264.1)". It matches the Rfam family "Y RNA". Rfam says of the family: Y RNAs are components of the Ro ribonucleoprotein particle (Ro RNP), in association with Ro60 and La proteins. Lineage: Eukaryota; Metazoa; Chordata; Mammalia; Primates; Cebidae. The record is from Rfam by way of RNAcentral.